GAAGUUGGAGAGAAGAUCUUGAGCCUGUUCAUUGUAAUUCUUGGCAGAAACACCUAGACACCUAUUAGAGGAAGGAAUAGGCAACCUUGCUCCACAUUUUUUCACUUAACUAAUGUCUAUGAAUGAAAAUAAUAGUCAACUGUGCGGUACAGUCAAAUUUGUAAUUUCAAUCUUGAGGUUCAAUGUAUAUCAAACAGCAUGAGUUGAAACAAAUGUGAUUAGCUCAAAUUUCAGAUUGGUAUAAUUUUUUUGCAUUGGAUCGAGUCUAAUGGGAUAUUGGAUUAACUCAUGCAGCGCUUGAGACUAGUUCUUAACAGUAAAUGCAAUUUGUAAGAACUGCGCAGAAAAUCUUAAUACAACAUUUGUAUCCAAGUUU
Molecule: unclassified non-coding RNA, 376 nt
Filed under: Hevea brasiliensis (rubber tree)
Lineage: Eukaryota; Viridiplantae; Streptophyta; Magnoliopsida; Malpighiales; Euphorbiaceae
Source: RNAcentral